This 398-nucleotide ribosomal RNA is filed under the name uncultured bacterium. Its description in RNAcentral is "bacterial SSU rRNA". It matches the Rfam family "Bacterial small subunit ribosomal RNA", at positions 361 to 776 of the family's 1533-position model. The record is from RNAcentral.
AUAUUGCGCAAUGGGGGAAACCCUGACGCAGCAACGCCGCGUGAAGGAUGAAGGUUUUCGGAUUGUAAACUUCUUUGAUUGGGGACGAUAAUGACGGUACCCAAAAAACAAGCCACGGCUAACUACGUGCCAGCAGCCGCGGUAAUACGUAGGUGGCAAGCGUUGUCCGGAAUUACUGGGUGUAAAGGGCGUGUAGGCGGGGAUGCAAGUCAGAUGUGAAAUUCCGGGGCUCAACCCCGGCACUGCAUCUGAAACUGUGUCUCUUGAGUGCUGGAGAGGAAAGCGGAAUUCCUAGUGUAGCGGUGAAAUGCGUAGAUAUUAGGAGGAACACCAGUGGCGAAGGCGGCUUUCUGGACAGUAACUGACGCUGAGGCGCGAAAGCGUGGGUAGCGAACAGG